RNAcentral lists this long non-coding RNA (344 nucleotides) under Nicotiana benthamiana. Its description in RNAcentral is "long non-coding RNA (NBEN_LNC006577)". Lineage: Eukaryota; Viridiplantae; Streptophyta; Magnoliopsida; Solanales; Solanaceae. The record is from RNAcentral.
UUUGUUUAUGUUUUUUUGGUUAGAGGGACAGUUUCAUGAUUGGUGCAUAGCUGAUGAACAGACACCAGAUGAUGAGCUGUUACAGGCACUCAGUUGGGCAUGUGGGAAUGGUGCAGAUUGCAGCAAAAUACAAGAAAAUCAGCCAUGUUAUCUCCCAAAUACUGUUAGAGAUCAUGCUUCUUAUGCAUUCAAUAGUUACUACCAAAAUUCAAAUCAUGUUACCUCCCAAAUACAGUGAGAGAUCAUGCUUCUUAUGCAUUCAAUAGCUACUAUCAAAAUUCAAAGCAAAAAGGGGCUAGUUGCUACUUCAAUUCUGCUGCUGUUUUAACUGCUCGUGAUCCAAG